GUACGAAAAGCUCACUAGUUCAGAAAGAAAAGGAAAAAAAAGAAAUGCUAAAGCCUAAUGACCCAAACCAUAGAAGUUCUUCAAAUUAAAUAAUCAUAAAAUGAUAAUAAACAGAGGUCAAAUCAAAUAGUUGUCAUCAUACUCGAACAUAUUUCUGUUAAAUGAUAAAUAGAAGGACAACUCCUUGCCUAGAAGUGUAAUUAAUUGGGCCUUUAGAUUCAUAAGUUAAAUGGUAUGCCACUCACAUAAUUUCCAACCCAUAAAUAGGGAACAAAAAAGAACGAACAUACAUUUAUUGGCAUUUCAGCUAUGAC
RNAcentral lists this unclassified non-coding RNA (314 nucleotides) under Hevea brasiliensis (rubber tree). Lineage: Eukaryota; Viridiplantae; Streptophyta; Magnoliopsida; Malpighiales; Euphorbiaceae. The record is from RNAcentral.